CAAAACAGUUUUAGAGACUUGGAACCACCUGACCCCAUCCCGAACUCAGAAGUGAAACGAGUCAUCGCCUCCCGUUUUAGCAUACUGUUUGC
Molecule: ribosomal RNA, 92 nt
Filed under: Gammaproteobacteria bacterium
Lineage: Bacteria; Pseudomonadati; Pseudomonadota; Gammaproteobacteria
Source: RNAcentral